GUCUACGGCCAUAGCACCCUGAGCAUGCCUGAUCUCAUCUGAUUCGGAAGCUAAGCAGGGUCGGGCCUGGUUAGUGCUUGGAUGGGAGA
This 89-nucleotide ribosomal RNA is filed under the name Ailuropoda melanoleuca (giant panda). Lineage: Eukaryota; Metazoa; Chordata; Mammalia; Carnivora; Ursidae. The record is from RNAcentral.